This 29-nucleotide non-coding RNA is filed under the name Mus musculus (house mouse). Lineage: Eukaryota; Metazoa; Chordata; Mammalia; Rodentia; Muridae. The record is from RNAcentral.
CAGGCUCACGUUCUGUGCUUAUAGGCUCU